This 536-nucleotide ribosomal RNA is filed under the name Bifidobacterium longum subsp. infantis. Its description in RNAcentral is "bacterial SSU rRNA". It matches the Rfam family "Bacterial small subunit ribosomal RNA", at positions 147 to 698 of the family's 1533-position model. The record is from RNAcentral. Lineage: Bacteria; Bacillati; Actinomycetota; Actinomycetes; Bifidobacteriales; Bifidobacteriaceae.
CUCCUGGAAACGGGUGGUAAUGCCGGAUGCUCCAGUUGAUCGCAUGGUCUUCUGGGAAAGCUUUCGCGGUAUGGGAUGGGGUCGCGUCCUAUCAGCUUGACGGCGGGGUAACGGCCCACCGUGGCUUCGACGGGUAGCCGGCCUGAGAGGGCGACCGGCCACAUUGGGACUGAGAUACGGCCCAGACUCCUACGGGAGGCAGCAGUGGGGAAUAUUGCACAAUGGGCGCAAGCCUGAUGCAGCGACGCCGCGUGAGGGAUGGAGGCCUUCGGGUUGUAAACCUCUUUUAUCGGGGAGCAAGCGUGAGUGAGUUUACCCGUUGAAUAAGCACCGGCUAACUACGUGCCAGCAGCCGCGGUAAUACGUAGGGUGCAAGCGUUAUCCGGAAUUAUUGGGCGUAAAGGGCUCGUAGGCGGUUCGUCGCGUCCGGUGUGAAAGUCCAUCGCUUAACGGUGGAUCCGCGCCGGGUACGGGCGGGCUUGAGUGCGGUAGGGGAGACUGGAAUUCCCGGUGUAACGGUGGAAUGUGUAGAUAUC